UCGCCUACGGGACGCAGCAGUAGGGAAUUUUCGUCAAUGGGCGCAAGCCUGAACGAGCAAUGCCGCGUGAACGAGGAAGGUCUUCGGAUCGUAAAGUUCUGUUGAAGGGGAAAAAGAGCGGAGAGAGGAAAUGAACUCCGAUUGAUAUUACCCUUCGAGGAAGUCACGGCUAACUACGUGCCAGCAGCCGCGGUAAUACGUAGGUGGCGAGCGUUAUCCGGAAUGAUUGGUCGUAAAGGGUGCGUAGGCGGCCUACUAAGUCUGGAGUGAAAGGUACCGGCUCAACCGGUACAGGCUCUGGCAAC
RNAcentral lists this ribosomal RNA (305 nucleotides) under uncultured bacterium. RNAcentral's name for it is "bacterial SSU rRNA". It matches the Rfam family "Bacterial small subunit ribosomal RNA", at positions 335 to 633 of the family's 1533-position model. The record is from RNAcentral.